AUUGAUUUUAUGCUUGCAUAAAUGAUUUUUGGAUUCGGAGCGAGUGGCGAACUGGUGAGUAACACGUGGGUAACCUGCCCCGAAGCGGGGGAUAACAUUUGGAAACAAGUGCUAAUACCGCAUAAUUAGUUGGAACCGCAUGGUUCCAACUUGAAAGAUGGCUCUGCUAUCACUUUGGGAUGGACCCGCGCCGUAUUAGUUAGUUGGUGAGAUAAAAGCCCACCAAGACGAUGAUACGUAGCCGACCUGAGAGGGUAAUCGGCCACAUUGGGACUGAGACACGGCCCAGACUCCUACGGGAGGCAGCAGUAGGGAAUCUUCCACAAUGGACGAAAGUCUGAUGGAGCAACGCCGCGUGAGUGAUGAAGGUUUUCGGAUCGUAAAACUCUGUUGUUAAAGAAGAACAAGUGUUAGAGUAACUGUUAACACUUUGACGGUAUUUAACCAGAAAGCCACGGCUAACUACGUGCCAGCAGCCGCGGUAAUACGUAGGUGGCAAGCGUUGUCCGGAUUUAUUGGGCGUAAAGCGAGCGCAGGCGGUUUUGUAAGUCUGCUGUGAAAGCCCCCAGCUCAACUGAGGAAGUGCAGUGGAAACUACAAAACUUGAGUACAGAAGAGGAAAGUGGAACUCCAUGUGUAGCGGUGAAAUGCGUAGAUAUAUGGAAGAACACCAGUGGCGAAGGCGGCUUUCUGGUCUGUUACUGACGCUGAGGCUCGAAAGCAUGGGUAGCGAACAGGAUUAGAUACCCUGGUAGUCCAUGCCGUAAACGAUGAAUACUAGGUGUUGGAGGGUUUCCGCCCUUCAGUGCCGCAGCUAACGCAUUAAGUAUUCCGCCUGGGGAGUACGACCGCAAGGUUGAAACUCAAAGGAAUUGACGGGGGCCCGCACAAGUGGUGGAGCAUGUGGUUUAAUUCGAUGCUACGCGAAGAACCUUACCAGCUCUUGACAUCUUCUGCCAACCCAAGAGAUUGGGCGUUCCCUUCGGGGACAGAAUGACAGGUGGUGCAUGGUUGUCGUCAGCUCGUGUCGUGAGAUGUUGGGUUAAGUCCCGCAACGAGCGCAACCCUUAUUAUUAGUUGCCAGCAUUUAGUUGGGCACUCUAGUGAGACUGCCGGUGAUAAA
Molecule: ribosomal RNA, 1123 nt
Filed under: uncultured bacterium
Lineage: Bacteria
Description: bacterial SSU rRNA
Rfam family: Bacterial small subunit ribosomal RNA
Source: RNAcentral